RNAcentral lists this ribosomal RNA (499 nucleotides) under uncultured bacterium. RNAcentral describes it as "partial 16S ribosomal RNA". It matches the Rfam family "Bacterial small subunit ribosomal RNA", at positions 30 to 523 of the family's 1533-position model. The record is from RNAcentral.
AUUGAACGCUGGCGGUAUGCUUAACACAUGCAAGUCGAACGAUGAGAAAGAGCUUGCUCUUUCGAUUAGUGGCGGACGGGUGCGUAACGCGUAGGAAUCUAUCUAUUAGUGGGGGACAACUUAGGGAAACUUAAGCUAAUACCGCAUACGCCCUACGGGGGAAAGAAGGGGAUCGCAAGACCUUUUGCUAAUAGAUGAGCCUGCGUAGGAUUAGCUAGUUGGUGGGGUAAAAGCUCACCAAGGCGACGAUCCUUAACUGGUUUGAGAGAAUGAUCAGUGACACUGGAACUGAGACACGGGCCAGACUCCUACGGGAGGCAGCAGUGGGGAAUAUUGGACAAUGGGCGAAAGCCUGAUCCAGCAAUACCGCGUGUGUGAAGAAGGCCUUAGGGUUGUAAAGCACUUUCAAUUGGAAGGAAAACCUCGAAGCUAAUACCUUCGAGUUUGACAUUACCUUUAGAAGAAGCACCGGCUAACUCCGUGCCAGCAGCCGCCGUAA